CUACGGGGUGCAGCAGGCGAGAAAACUUUGCAAUGUGCGAAAGCACGACAAGGUUAAUCCGAGUGGUUUCUGCUAAAGGAACCUUUUGACAGUCCUAGAAACACUGUUGAAUAAGGGGUGGGCAAGUUCUGGUGUCAGCCGCCGCGGUAAAACCAGCACCUCAAGUGGUCAGGAUGAUUAUUGGGCCUAAAGCAUCCGUAGCCGGCUCUGUAAGUUUUCGGUUAAACCUGUACGCUCAACGUACAGGCUGCCGGGAAUACUGCAGAGCUAGGGAGUGGGAGAGGUAGACGGUACUCGGUAGGAAGGGGUAAAAUCCCUUGAUCUAUUGAUGACCACCUGUGGCGAAGGCGGUCUACCAGAACACGUCCGACGGUGAGGGAUGAAAGCUGGGGGAGCAAACCGGAUUAGAUACCCGUAUAGUC
RNAcentral lists this ribosomal RNA (422 nucleotides) under uncultured archaeon. Its description in RNAcentral is "partial 16S ribosomal RNA". It matches the Rfam family "Archaeal small subunit ribosomal RNA", at positions 323 to 746 of the family's 1478-position model. The record is from RNAcentral.